AAGUCGUAACAAGGUUUCCGUAGGUGAACCUGCGGAAGGAUCAUUAAUGAUUGGUGGCUGUUGCUGGCUAGUGUUUCUAGUAUGUGCACGCCACACCUUCAAUCCCACUUACACCUGUGCACUUUUUGUAGUGGAUCUAUGUCGAUACAGAGAUGUGAAGGUUUACGCUCUCCUACUCUGUUGAAGCAAGUCUACUACGUCUUUUACACACACGCAAAAUAGUCAUUGAAUGUAUUUUUUAUUCUUAUGAUAAAAACAACUUUCAACAACGGAUCUCUUGGCUCUC
Molecule: unclassified non-coding RNA, 286 nt
Filed under: Waitea circinata
Lineage: Eukaryota; Fungi; Basidiomycota; Agaricomycetes; Corticiales; Corticiaceae
Description: partial internal transcribed spacer region
Rfam family: Eukaryotic small subunit ribosomal RNA (bases 1-46)
Source: RNAcentral